GAUGAACGCUGGCGGCGUGCCUAAUACAUGCAAGUCGAGCGAACAGACGAGGAGCUUGCUCCUCUGACGUUAGCGGCGGACGGGUGAGUAACACGUGGAUAACCUACCUAUAAGACUGGGAUAACUUCGGGAAACCGGAGCUAAUACCGGAUAAUAUAUUGAACCGCAUGGUUCAAUAGUGAAAGACGGUUUUGCUGUCACUUAUAGAUGGAUCCGCGCCGCAUUAGCUAGUUGGUAAGGUAACGGCUUACCAAGGCGACGAUGCGUAGCCGACCUGAGAGGGUGAUCGGCCACACUGGAACUGAGACACGGUCCAGACUCCUACGGGAGGCAGCAGUAGGGAAUCUUCCGCAAUGGGCGAAAGCCUGACGGAGCAACGCCGCGUGAGUGAUGAAGGUCUUCGGAUCGUAGAACUCUGUUAUUAGGGAAGAACAAAUGUGUAAGUAACUAUGCACGUCUUGACGGUACCUAAUCAGAAAGCCACGGCUAACUACGUG
This 497-nucleotide ribosomal RNA is filed under the name uncultured bacterium. Its description in RNAcentral is "partial 16S ribosomal RNA". It matches the Rfam family "Bacterial small subunit ribosomal RNA", at positions 28 to 507 of the family's 1533-position model. The record is from RNAcentral.